AAUCGACANNNCACGCUACACCUCACCCCCCCUAGCCGACCAGCCUAUAUACCGCCGUCGCCAGCUCACGCUGUGAGCCCAUAACCGUAAACGUAAUCAUCACCCAUUAAAACGACAGGUCAAGGUGUAGUUAAUGGGGGGGGCAGUGAUGGGCUACAUUUUCUUCACUAGAAAAUACCACCCGCACCAUGAAACCUUUGCCCNNNGGCGGAUUUAGAAGUAAGCCCUGACAANACAUGUCAACCUGAAAUAUGCCCUGGGACA
This 264-nucleotide ribosomal RNA is filed under the name Pristurus rupestris rupestris. RNAcentral describes it as "partial 12S ribosomal RNA". Lineage: Eukaryota; Metazoa; Chordata; Lepidosauria; Squamata; Sphaerodactylidae. The record is from RNAcentral.